This 1161-nucleotide long non-coding RNA is filed under the name Homo sapiens (human). RNAcentral describes it as "HSALNT0397733". The record is from RNAcentral. Lineage: Eukaryota; Metazoa; Chordata; Mammalia; Primates; Hominidae.
GUGCCGUCUGCGCUAUUGGAAACUACCUCUUAAAGAUAUUCCUUAGUUCAGGGUUUCUCCAAGCAACUGCACCAAAGUUUCUCCAAAGUAUUAAGAAAAGUCAAUGCCUACUGGGUGUACAGGCACCCAGUAACAAGUUUUUCCGAAAUCUUGCCUCUUUAAAAAAAUAAUGGAAAGGUAAUGCUGAUUUUGUUUUCUACUCCACAAUAGGUCUGCUUUUAUAUAAAAAAUCACCUUUAAAAUUACUUAUCCGCUCAAUUCCUUAGCCUUUUCCGUUUCCUAUUUUCCAGAAAACGCAUCUUUAUUAUUUUAGAAAUGAGAAAAGUGAGGCUUAGAGGUUACUACCUCACAAAGCCAUCCGUCCAUCCUCACAAACUUGGAACCAGUUUCUCACUAACUCUGCACCCUCAACACCCCCUCACACUCUCGGUCACCCACCCGCGAACCCACCCGAACUGUACCCCUGCCCCCAGCCACACAAGCUCGGAUCACCGCACAUCAUAGAAGGCGAUUCCUCCCCUCCAUACUCCCAGCCCCGUCGCAGGCACUGCAAAUCCUCCCCUCCAGCGUCCCUGGCCCGUUUCAGUGUCCAGAAACCCAAGUCCCACAGGGCCGAAACCCAACUCACCGGCAGACAAAGACGACCAUGGCAAGUCGGAGAUUCCGCGCCUGCGCACUCCUUCCGCGGGCAGCGCUCCCAGAGGUCUCCUGGGCUGGGCCAGGCCCCGACUCAGAACCGGACGGAAUCGAGAGAUCUUGGCCCGUCCUCCGUGCCACUCUUUUGAGGGUAGACUACAUUUCCCAGAAGGUUCAGCGGUUUGAGUCAGCUUUUCGCGCGAACUUUUCCUCCGCCAGAGCUUGUGGGACUGUCUCCCUGGCCGGGGCAGGGGUGUAAAGAUGGACACCUGCAUGAGGGAAGGAAUAUGUGAGCAGCUUCCAUUUCCCUUCCAUGGUCUUCUCAGCUUCCUCCAACAGUAGAUUGUUCAGCCUCCCUAAAGCAGGAGAAGAGGAAGGGGAAGAAAGGUGUUUUUCCGGGUUUCUAAGCAAAUACCUUGCUGCAGAUCUUCAACUGCAGGGGAGGGCAUGUUGCCAGAACAUCCUGUUUACAGAGGCCACUUAAAAUCCUUACGUUAACCCUAGGCAUACUGUGGUCAUCCUUUU